CCUACGGGGAGGCAGCAGUGGGGAAUUUUGGACAAUGGGCGCAAGCCUGAUCCAGCAAUGCCGCGUGAGUGAAGAAGGCCUUCGGGUUGUAAAGCUCUUUUGUCAGGGAAGAAACGGCUGAGGCUAAUAUCCUCGGCUAAUGACGGUACCUGAAGAAUAAGCACCGGCUAACUACGUGCCAGCAGCCGCGGUAAUACGUAGGGUGCAAGCGUUAAUCGGAAUUACUGGGCGUAAAGCGUGCGCAGGCGGUUUUGUAAGUCUGUCGUGAAAGCCCCGGGCUUAACCUGGGAAUUGCGAUGGAGACUGCAAGGCUUGAAUCUGGCAGAGGGGGGUAGAAUUCCACGUGUAGCAGUGAAAUGCGUAGAGAUGUGGAGGAACACCGAUGGCGAAGGCAGCCCCCUGGGUCAAGAUUGACGCUCAUGCACGAAAGCGUGGGGAGCAAACAGGAUUAGAUACCCUGGUAGUCCACGCCCUAAACGAUGUCUACUAGUUGUCGGUCUUAAUGACUUGGUAACGCAGCUACGCGNGAGUAGACGCGUGGGUAGGUACGGUCGCGAGAAGUAAACGUACGAAGAAGUAGUACGGCGUGAGACGUAGACGACGACGACGACGAGGGAGGAGG
RNAcentral lists this ribosomal RNA (622 nucleotides) under uncultured bacterium. Its description in RNAcentral is "bacterial SSU rRNA". The stretch from base 1 to 538 matches the Rfam family "Bacterial small subunit ribosomal RNA", at positions 338 to 873 of the family's 1533-position model. The record is from RNAcentral.